ACCGGAUGCGGAUCUCGAAAGCCUGUCCCAGUUCGGACUGGAGUCUGCAACCCGACUCCACGAAGUUGGAUUCGCUAGUAAUCGCGCAUCAGCCAUGGCGCGGUGAAUACGUUCCCGGGCCUUGUACACACCGCCCGUCAAGCCAUGGGAGCCCGGGCGCCUGAAGUCCGGGACCGCGAGGACCGGCCUAGGGCGAAACUGGUAACUGGGGCUAAGUCGUAACAAGGUACC
Molecule: ribosomal RNA, 231 nt
Filed under: uncultured bacterium
Lineage: Bacteria
Description: partial 16S ribosomal RNA
Rfam family: Bacterial small subunit ribosomal RNA
Source: RNAcentral